Molecule: long non-coding RNA, 567 nt
Organism: Alosa sapidissima (American shad)
Lineage: Eukaryota; Metazoa; Chordata; Actinopteri; Clupeiformes; Clupeidae
Exons: 3
Source: RefSeq, a predicted model, not a curated record
UUCGAAAAGGUAGGGUCUUGGAUCUUGGUAGUCGAAGUCAUCAUCUUCGUCUAUCGUGUAAUCUUCCAUAUUCAUCGCCAUUAGAACUCUUAGAGAAAGCCCACCUGUCAGUGUCAGCCUAGUUGCAGAGAACUUGGUAGUCACGCUGGUGUAUUGCCGGAAGUUGAGGGUUUACAGAUGCUGCGUGGUGUCUUUGCGCCUGGCAGCGGUGCUUUGCCGGUGCUAUGCCCGAAAAUAGUUCCAAAUCUAAAUUGGUCUAGUAAAUCCCUUUGUGUUAAUUUGCAUUGAUAUUUGUACUCGAUGUGAAUGUACAGGUUACGAGAAAUAAUUAUAAAAAAUCUUGAGUUAUUUGAUUCACUUUUGCACCGACAUGCUAGCUGGCAUCUCCGGAUUACAGCGACUACGCUAAGCUAAAGCUAACCGGGCCGUUUCUAGAUUAGGACAAUGGCUGGGUCGGCUAUGAAACGCUUUGGCUCACUCAUCCAACUCUAGGGACUGCGGGGAGUGACCCAAUUUCACCUAGGGGUGGCGUAUUCCUUUAAACAAUGUGCUUGUGAUGUAUGUAUG